This is a long non-coding RNA of Condylostylus longicornis, 943 nucleotides long. RefSeq lists it as uncharacterized. Lineage: Eukaryota; Metazoa; Arthropoda; Insecta; Diptera; Dolichopodidae. The transcript is spliced from 2 exons. The record is from RefSeq and is a predicted model, not a curated record.
UGUGUAUAUAAAAUUUUUUUUUUCCUCUUCUGUUUUCUUUUCAUUUUCAAUUUUUGCAUUUCUUAUUGUUAUUAUUAUUAUUAUGUUAUCUCUGUGAGAGAGAGGGUAAAAUAUAUACAACAAAAGAAAAAAAAAAAGAAAAAAUUUUUUUUCACAUUUUUUUUCCUGAAAUUUUUAACAAUUUCAUCAUUCGAGCAAGUGUCGAGGUAGUUUCGACUACUCUUUUUUAAAUUCAAAAUAAAAAUUUGUAAAAAAAAUCAGAAAAAAUCAAAUCCAAUAUAAAUUUUUAUUAUAAAAUAUGUAUAUAUAAAAAAUACAUAAAUAUAAUGUGAUAUAAAUAAAAUUUAAGUAAAGAAAAAGAAAAAUAAAAUAAGAAUUCAAAUAAAAAUUCAAAUUCGGAAUUUCAGAAGAAAAGAAAAAAAAAAUAAAUUCUUAAAUACAUAAAAAUAGUAUAUAAAAUUAAAGAAAAUUAUACAUAAUAUAAAAUAUAUAAAAUAGUAUAAAAUCAUUUACUUAUAUGUAUAUAUAUAUAAAAAUAAAAUGAAAAAAGUUUUCAAAUACAAAGAAAAAAGCAAAGUUUUUACAAUAAGUUUUCAAAUUUCUUAAAAAGAAGCAUACGUUUAUGUGUUUAUAUAAUAAUAAAAUAUAUAAUAUCUGUAUAUAUAUAUAUACAUAUAUAUAUCCAAAUGAGAGAGUAUAUUAUAUAUAAAAAAAAAAUAAUUUCGCUUUUAUAUAAAUAGUAUAUUAUAUAGAACGAAAAUAAAGAAAGAGAACGGGAGUAAAAGAAAAGAAAAAGUGAAAAAAAAAAGCUUUUUAAAUAAUUUUGAUGAGUAAAUAGAAAAGAGCGAGUAUAAGAGCGAGAAAAAAAGAAGAAAUUAAACAACAACACAAAAAUAAUAAUAAUAAUUACAAUAAAAUGUUAUAGUAGUUGUUGCUACGGGUA